Molecule: long non-coding RNA, 526 nt
Organism: Thalassophryne amazonica
Lineage: Eukaryota; Metazoa; Chordata; Actinopteri; Batrachoidiformes; Batrachoididae
Exons: 4
Source: RefSeq, a predicted model, not a curated record
AGUAAAGAAUUUAUAAAUUAAUAAAAACAUUCCCUUUGCAGUGUUCUUACAGCUUUCUGCCCACAUCAACCUUUUUCUCAGGAUUUCAGAACAUAGAAAAAUAUUCUUACAACAUUCAUGGUUACAUUAUUUUUAGUGUGGUUCUCAUUCUGUGGUUUCUUUCACAUACAUUUGUUUGUACAGUAUUUACACCAAAAUCAGUCCGCGCUGUUUAUCGGCUUCAACGAACGAGACACCAGAGCGCGGUUUGCAUAGAUCAAAGGGGAGGAAGGAAAAACACGAAAAAGUGACGAUGUUCUGUACCAAGUGUACAUACAGACCAAAAAAAAAAAAAUAAUAAUAACAAUAAUAAUAAUAAUAAUAAGACGUGUGCUGCACACAACGUGAAGAAAUUCUCCUACAAAACACCUGAAUUCUUCAGGUAUUAAAAGUAAAAACAACAGUUUCCCUGGUGAUACUUAUAAAAUAUAGAGAUAUUUUAUUUACAGAAGUGUGGGAUCAGGGAAGAAAUGACAGAGGAGCCACA